This 1515-nucleotide ribosomal RNA is filed under the name Bacteroides fragilis str. 3976T7. RNAcentral's name for it is "bacterial SSU rRNA". It matches the Rfam family "Bacterial small subunit ribosomal RNA". Lineage: Bacteria; Pseudomonadati; Bacteroidota; Bacteroidia; Bacteroidales; Bacteroidaceae. The record is from RNAcentral.
GAGUUUGAUCCUGGCUCAGGAUGAACGCUAGCUACAGGCUUAACACAUGCAAGUCGAGGGGCAUCAGGAAGAAAGCUUGCUUUCUUUGCUGGCGACCGGCGCACGGGUGAGUAACACGUAUCCAACCUGCCCUUUACUCGGGGAUAGCCUUUCGAAAGAAAGAUUAAUACCCGAUGGCAUAAUGAUUCCGCAUGGUUUCAUUAUUAAAGGAUUCCGGUAAAGGAUGGGGAUGCGUUCCAUUAGGUUGUUGGUGAGGUAACGGCCCACCAAGCCUUCGAUGGAUAGGGGUUCUGAGAGGAAGGUCCCCCACAUUGGAACUGAGACACGGUCCAAACUCCUACGGGAGGCAGCAGUGAGGAAUAUUGGUCAAUGGGCGCUAGCCUGAACCAGCCAAGUAGCGUGAAGGAUGAAGGCUCUAUGGGUCGUAAACUUCUUUUAUAUAAGAAUAAAGUGCAGUAUGUAUACUGUUUUGUAUGUAUUAUAUGAAUAAGGAUCGGCUAACUCCGUGCCAGCAGCCGCGGUAAUACGGAGGAUCCGAGCGUUAUCCGGAUUUAUUGGGUUUAAAGGGAGCGUAGGUGGACUGGUAAGUCAGUUGUGAAAGUUUGCGGCUCAACCGUAAAAUUGCAGUUGAUACUGUCAGUCUUGAGUACAGUAGAGGUGGGCGGAAUUCGUGGUGUAGCGGUGAAAUGCUUAGAUAUCACGAAGAACUCCGAUUGCGAAGGCAGCUCACUGGACUGCAACUGACACUGAUGCUCGAAAGUGUGGGUAUCAAACAGGAUUAGAUACCCUGGUAGUCCACACAGUAAACGAUGAAUACUCGCUGUUUGCGAUAUACAGUAAGCGGCCAAGCGAAAGCAUUAAGUAUUCCACCUGGGGAGUACGCCGGCAACGGUGAAACUCAAAGGAAUUGACGGGGGCCCGCACAAGCGGAGGAACAUGUGGUUUAAUUCGAUGAUACGCGAGGAACCUUACCCGGGCUUAAAUUGCAGUGGAAUGAUGUGGAAACAUGUCAGUGAGCAAUCACCGCUGUGAAGGUGCUGCAUGGUUGUCGUCAGCUCGUGCCGUGAGGUGUCGGCUUAAGUGCCAUAACGAGCGCAACCCUUAUCUUCAGUUACUAACAGGUUAUGCUGAGGACUCUAGAGAGACUGCCGUCGUAAGAUGUGAGGAAGGUGGGGAUGACGUCAAAUCAGCACGGCCCUUACGUCCGGGGCUACACACGUGUUACAAUGGGGGGUACAGAAGGCAGCUAGCGGGUGACCGUAUGCUAAUCCCAAAAUCCUCUCUCAGUUCGGAUCGAAGUCUGCAACCCGACUUCGUGAAGCUGGAUUCGCUAGUAAUCGCGCAUCAGCCACGGCGCGGUGAAUACGUUCCCGGGCCUUGUACACACCGCCCGUCAAGCCAUGGGAGCCGGGGGUACCUGAAGUACGUAACCGCAAGGAUCGUCCUAGGGUAAAACUGGUGACUGGGGCUAAGUCGUAACAAGGUAGCCGUACCGGAAGGUGCGGCUGGAACACC